Molecule: ribosomal RNA, 473 nt
Filed under: uncultured organism
Description: partial 16S ribosomal RNA
Rfam family: Bacterial small subunit ribosomal RNA
Source: RNAcentral
CGUACACUCCUACGGGAGGCAGCAGUAGGGAAUCUUCCACAAUGGGUGCAAACCUGAUGGAGCAAUGCCGCGUGAGUGAAGAAGGUCUUCGGAUCGUAAAGCUCUGUUGUUAGAGAAGAACACGUGCUAGGUAACUACUAGCGCCUUGACGGUAUCUAACCAGAAAGUCACGGCUAACUACGUGCCAGCAGCCGCGGUAAUACGUAGGUGACAAGCGUUGUCCGGAUUUAUUGGGCGUAAAGGGAGCGCAGGCGGUCUGUUUAGUCUAAUGUGAAAGCCCACGGCUUAACCGUGGAACGGCAUUGGAAACUGACAGACUUGAAUGUAGAAGAGGAAAAUGGAAUUCCAAGUGUAGCGGUGGAAUGCGUAGAUAUUUGGAGGAACACCAGUGGCGAAGGCGAUUUUCUGGUCUAACAUUGACGCUGAGGCUCGAAAGCGUGGGGAGCGAACAGGAUUAGAUACCCCUGUAGUCC